GGUUGACCUCGGAUCAGGUAGGAAGACCCGCUGAACUUAAGCAUAUCAAUA
RNAcentral lists this ribosomal RNA (51 nucleotides) under Staphylotrichum boninense. Its description in RNAcentral is "partial 28S ribosomal RNA". Lineage: Eukaryota; Fungi; Ascomycota; Sordariomycetes; Sordariales; Chaetomiaceae. The record is from RNAcentral.